This is a long non-coding RNA of Anarrhichthys ocellatus (wolf-eel), 579 nucleotides long. RefSeq lists it as uncharacterized. The record is from RefSeq and is a predicted model, not a curated record. The transcript is spliced from 3 exons. NCBI's taxonomy places the organism in Eukaryota, Metazoa, Chordata, Actinopteri, Perciformes, Anarhichadidae.
CUGCCUCUCAAACAGACGUAAUCUGUGGAUCAGAGGAGCAGGCGCUCAGUCGGUGGAGAGUUGGUCUCGGACGGAAGUGAUGAGAGUGAAAAUACCCACUGUGGCACACUUGAAGAAAUCCUCAUCAGUCCAGCUCGACGGGACCGUGCAUCCUGUUGUUUUACAAGCAGCGGGUGAAGGGAAAUGUUGUUUUCACAUUGUGCCUCCUGCUUGUGACUCCGUGAAGAUCAUUUCCAUCAGAUGCUGUUCCGGACAAUUUUGAAGUGAAGAUGAAAGAAGGACCUGCGAUUAAUGAGGUGGUGGUGAUGCAGUACAGCACAUCCUCUCAGUUUAUGUUCCAGCUUAAACACGCAUGAUCAUGUAUAACAUAACCAGAACCACGUUUGCCCUGUGGACAGUGGACUCAUUCUGUCGUUGUCCUGUUGCAUUACAUCCCUCUGCUGUGCGACCUGGCCUCUGGGGUUUGAAUCACGUCCUCGGCUCUGUCCCUGUCCCCUGCCUGUCUGACUUGUCUGUUCUCCCCCCGCUACGCCCUGCCUCGUCUUGUCAGCUCGGCUCACGGUCACAGUCCUGCUUGCC